This 83-nucleotide transfer RNA is filed under the name Candidatus Zixiibacteriota bacterium. RNAcentral describes it as "tRNA-Leu". It matches the Rfam family "tRNA". Rfam says of the family: Transfer RNA (tRNA) molecules are approximately 80 nucleotides in length. Their secondary structure includes four short double-helical elements and three loops (D, anti-codon, and T loops). Further hydrogen bonds mediate the characteristic L-shaped molecular structure. tRNAs have two regions of fundamental functional importance: the anti-codon, which is responsible for specific mRNA codon recognition, and the 3' end, to which the tRNAs corresponding amino acid is attached (by aminoacyl-tRNA synthetases). tRNAs cope with the degeneracy of the genetic code in two manners: having more than one tRNA (with a specific anti-codon) for a particular amino acid; and 'wobble' base-pairing, i.e. permitting non-standard base-pairing at the 3rd anti-codon position. RNAcentral also lists the same sequence under 1 other name. The record is from RNAcentral. Lineage: Bacteria; Pseudomonadati; Candidatus Zixiibacteriota.
GGGGAAGUGCUGGAAUUGGCAGACAGGCGUGACUUAGGAUCACGUGCCCUCUGGGCGUGUGGGUUCGACUCCCACCUUCCCUA